CCAGACUCCUACGGGAGGCAGCAGUGAGGAAUAUUGGUCAAUGGCCGAGAGGCUGAACCAGCCAAGUCGCGUGAGGGAAGACGGCCCUACGGGUUGUAAACCUCUUUUGUCGGGGAGCAAAAGACGCCACGCGUGGCGUUCCGAGAGUACCCGAAGAAAAAGCAUCGGCUAACCCCGUGCCAGCAGCCGCGGUAAUACGGAGGAUGCGAGCGUUAUCCGGAUUUAUUGGGUUUAAAGGGUGCGCAGGCGGGGUGUCAAGUCAGCGGUAAAAUGUCGGGGCUCAACCCCGGCCGGCCGUUGAAACUGGCGUGCUCGAGUUGGAGAGAAGUAUGCGGAAUUCGUGGUGUAGCGGUGAAAUGCAUAGAUAUCACGAAGAACCCCGAUUGCGAAGGCAGCAUACCGGCUCCACACUGACGCUGAGGCACGAAAGCGUGGGUAUCGAACAGGAUUAGAUACCCCGGUA
RNAcentral lists this ribosomal RNA (463 nucleotides) under uncultured bacterium. RNAcentral's name for it is "bacterial SSU rRNA". It matches the Rfam family "Bacterial small subunit ribosomal RNA", at positions 331 to 792 of the family's 1533-position model. The record is from RNAcentral.